RNAcentral lists this ribosomal RNA (1437 nucleotides) under Salmonella enterica subsp. enterica serovar Enteritidis. RNAcentral's name for it is "partial 23S ribosomal RNA". It matches the Rfam family "Bacterial large subunit ribosomal RNA", at positions 161 to 1503 of the family's 2925-position model. The record is from RNAcentral. Lineage: Bacteria; Pseudomonadati; Pseudomonadota; Gammaproteobacteria; Enterobacterales; Enterobacteriaceae.
AAUCCAUAGGUUAAUGAGGCGAACCGGGGGAACUGAAACAUCUAAGUACCCCGAGGAAAAGAAAUCAACCGAGAUUCCCCCAGUAGCGGCGAGCGAACGGGGAGGAGCCCAGAGCCUGAAUCAGCAUGUGUGUUAGUGGAAGCGUCUGGAAAGGCGCGCGAUACAGGGUGACAGCCCCGUACACAAAAGCGCAUGUGCUGUGAGCUCGAUGAGUAGGGCGGGACACGUGGUAUCCUGUCUGAAUAUGGGGGGACCAUCCUCCAAGGCUAAAUACUCCUGACUGACCGAUAGUGAACCAGUACCGUGAGGGAAAGGCGAAAAGAACCCCGGCGAGGGGAGUGAAAAAGAACCUGAAACCGUGUACGUACAAGCAGUGGGAGCCCCACCACCAAAGCAUUUGCUGUACCGCGUUGACGGAGCGAAGCGACGUCAAACCGAUAAAACAGCAGUGUAAAGUGAGCCGCAGGGCGCUUUGCGCGACAGCGCAAAGGCAGGCGGUUUCGCGUAGCGAAAGCGAAUGCUUUGGGGUGGGGUGACUGCGUACCUUUUGUAUAAUGGGUCAGCGACUUAUAUUCUGUAGCAAGGUUAACCGAAUAGGGGAGCCGGAGGGAAACCGAGUCUUAAUUGGGCGUUAAGUUGCAGGGUAUAGACCCGAAACCCGGUGAUCUAGCCAUGGGCAGGUUGAAGGGUGGGUAACACUAACUGGAGGACCGAACCGACUAAUGUUGAAAAAUUAGCGGAUGACCUGUGGCUGGGGGUGAAAGGCCAAUCAAACCGGGAGAUAGCUGGUUCUCCCCGAAAGCUAUUUAGGUAGCGCCUCGUGAAUUCAUCUCCGGGGGUAGAGCACUGUUUCGGCUAGGGGGCCAUCCCGGCUUACCAACCCGAUGCAAACUGCGAAUACCGGAGAAUGUUAUCACGGGAGACACACGGCGGGUGCUAACGUCCGUCGUGAAGAGGGAAACAACCCAGACCGCCAGCUAAGGUCCCAAAGUCAUGGUUAAGUGGGAAACGAUGUGGGAAGGCCCAGACAGCCAGGAUGUUGGCUUAGAAGCAGCCAUCAUUUAAAGAAAGCGUAAUAGCUCACUGGUCGAGUCGGCCUGCGCGGAAGAUGUAACGGGGCUAAACCAUGCACCGAAGCUGCGGCAGCGACACUGUGUGUUGUUGGGUAGGGGAGCGUUCUGUAAGCCUGUGAAGGUGUGUCGUGAGGCAUGCUGGAGGUAUCAGAAGUGCGAAUGCUGACAUAAGUAACGAUAAAGCGGGUGAAAAGCCCGCUCGCCGGAAGACCAAGGGUUCCUGUCCAACGUUAAUCGGGGCAGGGUGAGUCGACCCCUAAGGCGAGGCCGAAAGGCGUAGUCGAUGGGAAACGGGUUAAUAUUCCCGUACUUGGUGUUACUGCGAAGGGGGGACGGAGAAGGCUAUGUUGGCCGGGCGACGGUU